Molecule: non-coding RNA, 218 nt
Organism: Pelobates cultripes (western spadefoot toad)
Lineage: Eukaryota; Metazoa; Chordata; Amphibia; Anura; Pelobatidae
Source: the annotation of a GenBank genome assembly
CCUGAACCUGUUUCUUCUCUUUUUCCACCCCAUACUGUCAUUCGCACAUUAUAUUCCCCUUAUCACUAUUCCUCAGAAUAGUAUAUUCAAAAAUUUGUAGUAAGUUAAGAAAAUUGCAAAAGUAAAAAAAAAGUUAUUUGAGCGUAUGGUUGUCAUUUAACUGUCAUUCACAAUUUAGUGAAUAAAUUCCAUUUUCUUCUUUCAAAGUGUUUUCCACU